Vicia faba (fava bean) is the source of this 308-nucleotide non-coding RNA. The record is from the annotation of a GenBank genome assembly. Lineage: Eukaryota; Viridiplantae; Streptophyta; Magnoliopsida; Fabales; Fabaceae.
AAAGCUUCAGCAAUUAGAGAUAAGCUUCACUUUAGGGGUGAAUACUUGGACAAUCAUGUUGAGCAUGCUAAUGGCAGACUAUGGAUUAGCUGGGAUAAUACCAAAUAUGAUGUUAGAAGUGUGCAUAUAACUAGUCAAUCUAUUCAUUGUGGGGUCUAUGAUAUUGGGGGCUGCUUCAAGUUUUGGCUAACAGCUGUUUAUGCUCUUAAUCGCUUGGAGGACGGAAAACACUUGUGGAAGAUUGUUGAGAACAUCCAUAGGAAUAUUCAUGGGCAUUGGUGCUUGUUUGGGGAUUAUAACAACGUGGC